UGGGGAAUAUUGGACAAUGGGCGAAAGCCUGAUCCAGCCAUGCCGCGUGUGUGAAGAAGGCCUUUUGGUUGUAAAGCACUUUAAGUGGGGAGGAAAAGCUUGUGGUUAAUACCCAUAAGCCCUGACGUUAUCCACAGAAUAAGCACCGGCUAACUCUGUGCCAGCAGCCGCGGUAAUACAGAGGGUGCAAGCGUUAAUCGGAAUUACUGGGCGUAAAGCGCGCGUAGGUGGUUAUUUAAGUCAGAUGUGAAAGCCCCGGGCUUAACCUGGGAACUGCAUCUGAUACUGGAUAACUAGAGUAGGUGAGAGGGGAGUAGAAUUCCAGGUGUAGCGGUGAAAUGCGUAGAGAUCUGGAGGAAUACCGAUGGCGAAGGCAGCUCCCUGGCAUCAUACUGACACUGAGGUGCGAAAGCGUGGGUAGCAAACAGGAUUAGAUACCCUGGUAGUCCACGCCGUAAACGAUGUCUACCAGUCGUUGGGUCUUUUAAAGACUUAGUGACGCAGUUAACGCAAUAAGUAGACCGCCUGGGGAGUACGGCCGCAAGGUUA
Molecule: ribosomal RNA, 549 nt
Filed under: uncultured bacterium
Lineage: Bacteria
Description: bacterial SSU rRNA
Rfam family: Bacterial small subunit ribosomal RNA
Source: RNAcentral